This 335-nucleotide long non-coding RNA is filed under the name Mytilus galloprovincialis (Mediterranean mussel). The record is from RNAcentral. Lineage: Eukaryota; Metazoa; Mollusca; Bivalvia; Mytilida; Mytilidae.
AAUGUAUCAAAUUUGAAAGAAAAGCUCACAAAGGAUACAUGUACCUACUCGUCUUUAAAUUCGAUCGUCAGAAGUGCGCUUUGUCUCAUGUUGGAGAUUGACACAGACUAGUUGGAAUGCAAACUUAAGUUACAAAUGUAAAGAGCUUUGUGUCAAAUCCGGAUAAUGCCAUCAUUAUGAACAUACAGGUGUAUGCUUGCAAUGAGAAAUUUCUAUCCCCGCAACCAAGGAUGCACACAUUAAUUGACCACCGUACGAUCUAUUAUAGUUUUAUGCCAUGGUUUUGUCUGUCUUUCUUUGUCUCUUCGAUCUUUGAUUGCUGUAUUCUAUUCUUA